UAAAAGGUGAGAAAACUAUAGGAGUGGAGCCACCUUAAUAUAAACAAAUAUGGCGGGCGAGACAAUAGCUUGGGGCCAGUUGUUGUUGUGCAGUACAGAGACGAAACCACCUAUACGUUUAAUGAGAAAUAAUAUAAAGAUUGGUAGAACAAGUGGUAAGUUUAUUUUGAUAAUAUCCAGAUUGUUUUGAUAUCAUUUCUAAUUAUAAUAUGAUAAAGUAUGCAAAAUUUAUGCAUUCGGUUGAAAUCUGUUCAGUGACUUCAGUCGGGUACUUUACACUCCCGGCGUACUUAAUCGAUGAAAUCGAUAAUCGAUGAGUAUCGAUAUCAAUCAAUACCAAUCGAUAUUGAUCAAUUGAUUGAUAUUGGAAAUCGAUGAAUAAUCGAUGGCUUCUUUUGCUGUGACUUUCAUCGAUUGAUCAUCGAUUUAUUAAUUUUCAUUGAUGAAAAAAUCCUCAGUUAGUAAUAUGCAUGCAAUCAAACAGGCAACGCCGUUAUUUAAUUAAUACGUACUUUAAUGUCGUAACAAACUCAAAUGUGAACGGAAUUCAGUAACAAUGGAUUAAAUUAAGUUUUCAUCUAGCUAUAAUGCAGAUCAAAUACAUGUGUCCGUUCGAAAAAUGAGAACAUAUUUACUAUUUAGCUCGAACACGCCGACACGCGGCGAUUAUUUACGAUAUAAAUCGAUAAAAAUCUAAAGCAUUUUGUCGAUAAAAAUCGAUAAAUAUCGAUGAAAAUCGAUGAAUAUCGAUAAUAAUCGAUAAAAUUGGCUAUAACUUUGUGUGACUAUCGAUUGGUCAUCGAUUGAUCAAUGUCAAUCGAUAUCAAUUAAGUAAUUAGCAUCGAUUGCCAUCGAUUGAUCGAUUGGAUUUCCGAUGAUCGGUUUUUAUCGAUUAAGUACGCCGGAUUUACACUUUACCGUACCGUAAGUAUUUGAUGGCGUGCGUUCUGACGGUUUUUCCGUGGCGCAACUGUUGCUAUAAAGAUGUGGUAUGGAAAAGAAAGGACGAUAAAAAGUCUAUAGUAGCAGAUAUUCAACGGGAAAAAUCUCGUAGUCGUACUAGAUUUCGUAGCUGUAGCGAAUCUAAAGUCCCCUAUUAUCCGGCCGGAUAUCGGUUUUCUAACCCCUCCUUACCGUAACUCAGGGUCUGAAAUUUACAGUAUCCCAAUAUUCACAGGAUACCAAAAAUUUGGUUUUAGAUAGUAUAGAUACCAAACUGUGAAUGACUUUAAUAUAUCCCGACUGGAUACUAAGAAUUUCAAACAUUAAAAAAACACCUUUGAUGGACUCUUGAGAGCUUUUGAAUACUAUCAGUUUACCACCAGUUCUUCCUCAUUGAGACCUAGCAUAUAGAAGGUUGUUGAAUGAUUAAAUGGACUGUUGAGUCUCAUGUUGUUAUUCUGAGUGCCCGGCACUGGUGCCCAAUGUUCAAAAUGGUUCACAAAACAUGUUGAGCACAGUGCCGUUGUUGAGUACUACCUCUAGAGGUAGUGCCCGUUCUUGGGCACUGUGCCCAAUUUUAUUUGAAAGCGUCGUGUUCAAACUGGGAGCCAAAACAAGUGCCGGGCACCAGUGCCGGGCACCCAGUCUGGACGCAGCCUAAUACUGAUGGUUCCCCAGAAUCCAGAAGUAGGAUACUGCAUGGAUUCUCAAGGGGAAUACUAAACUUUUAAUCCUGGUGUCCCAGGUGGAUAUACUGAAAAAAAAUAUAAAUUUUAAGAUCCUGUUGAAGGCGAAACGGAAGGAAUACUGGGUUGAAGUAAUAAGUGCAAAUCACUUUCGAGACAUCUGCCAGCAGGGAAACUUUUGCAAUGCAGCGGAUAAAUUUUUAUUCAUUCCAAUGGACCAUUCCCCAAUUAACCAAAAUUUUGAUCUGAACAAGUCUAGACAAAAUUCCAUCAUGGCAUGAAAGAGCAUCACAAAAUUAGUAAUAUUCCAAAGUUUCGUUUGCGAAAUGUUGUAAAAUGCGGAUAAUAUAGCCUUGCGAAAUUUGCAAUUUUCAGUCAUUUUAGAUUACAAACGGGAAGUGGUUACCACUUUUCCAAAAUUUUGAUCUGAACUAGCCUAAACAAAAAUUUCAUCACAGCUUGAAGGAGCAUCGCAAAAUUAGUAAUAUUCCAAAGUUUCGUUGCAAAAUGUUGUAAAAUGCGGAUAAUUUAGCCUUGCUAAGUUUGUAAUUUUCAGUCAUUUUGUAUUACACACAGAAGCGGUAACCAUUUCCCCUUUGUAAUCUAAAAUGACUGAAAAUUGCAAACUUCGCAAGGCUAUAUUAUCCGCAUUUUACAACAUUUUGCAACGAAACUUUGGAAUGUUACGAAUUUUUUGAUGCUCUUUUAAGCUGCGAUGAAAUUUUUGUCUAGACUUGUUGAGUUCAACAUUUUGGUUAAUUGGGGAAUGGUCCAUUGUUUCAAUUUUUCAAUUUCAAUAAAAAAUUUCAAUAAAAAAAUUUUGCUCGAAAAGUCUACUGUACUCCUUAUUUUAUUUAUUUCUGAUGCACACAAAUUAUUCAUCCAAAAUAUACGGUAUCCGGCCGGAUUAAAACCACCACUGUCCGGUGCACCCUAGUUAUCAGUUCACAAAACCUUAGUAUUAUUCUUUAAGUUGAGGUCAAGAUAUAAAAUUUCAUAUUCCAGAUUGUGACGUGAGUUUUCAGAGCAACAGGUACAUCUCAGGACAACACUGCACAAUAUCUCGAGAUGAAAAUGGAAAAGUAUGGUUGACAGACAAUAG
This is a non-coding RNA of Paramuricea clavata, 2730 nucleotides long. The record is from the annotation of a GenBank genome assembly. NCBI's taxonomy places the organism in Eukaryota, Metazoa, Cnidaria, Anthozoa, Malacalcyonacea, Plexauridae.